Molecule: long non-coding RNA, 1368 nt
Organism: Pelmatolapia mariae (spotted tilapia)
Lineage: Eukaryota; Metazoa; Chordata; Actinopteri; Cichliformes; Cichlidae
Exons: 6
Source: RefSeq, a predicted model, not a curated record
AGUUCACCAGCUUUAAAAAAUCGUGUCUACGUGCAAUUUAUGUAUAGUUGACCGGGAAAUUAAAGCAGCGAUCACUUGGACUAUUCCGCAGCACCCCUCUCACAUUGGUACAUCCCCCCAGGUAUUCAUUGUCUUCUACAGUAGAGCGGGACAUUUGAUUUACUCUCAGCGGAAUUGACCGGAGAAGGCAUCAGUUCAUGCACUGCACUGGCCUGCACCACGAUUAGUAUAAGGCACAUUUCACGAAGCAGAACGCAGUCUUCAGAGAUAUCCACGUGAACGCUGUGAUACGUCUGACCUUCAGUCCGAAGAAGAAACCCAGACCAGUCUUAAAAGAAAGCACAAACCAAAUCCCCUGUACACAUAUACGGACUCAGAGGAUGAGCAGCCUACAAAAAAACAGUUUCCCCAGGCCCCUCGAGUGAAAAUACCAGCCCUCAUCACUCCGCAGUCUGCCCCCCAGCCCACUGAUAGCAACCAUCAUAAUGCCCCACCCAGCUUCCGGCACCUUUCGCCACUCUGGCACAAACCGACACAGCUUUGCGAUCUCGCCAGCAUGCAGAGUCUGAUGUCUUCCCUAUAGAUGAUUCCAGAGACUCUGUGAGGCCACUAUUGCAAGGUGAGACGCUUUGCGUUGAUUGGUGCUGCUGGACCACACUGGAGGUGCGAGUCCGCCGUGUAAUGGUUUAUGCCCUUACAAAGGAGCUGGCCUCUGUACUCAACUGGGCAGGGAAAAAAAACCAAGGACCAGACAAAGCAAAAAAGGGCAUUUAAAGAGACAGCGCUGUGCAGAUGCAUAUUUGGUAAGUUUUAACAUUUAUUGUAGUUUUAUGAGCCUAAAGUGAACAAUAAAGGGAUCAAUUGAUGUGCUGGGUGCAUUUCACAUUUCCUAUGUCUGUUUUUUGCUAUAUUACUUUGUCUUUCUUAAUAACAAGACUUUCAUGUCCGGUUAAUCUGGAGAUGGAGUCUUUGGUCUUCGGCUUGUUUUGUCCUCGGGUUGUACACUUUGUACAGCCCGAGGACCCCAUGUUUUCUUUUUUUUUUUUAAAGGAUACACGGCACACCAUGCUAAGACAUAUCACAUUUUCAGCUUAUAGCUCUUUGGGAAUCAAAUGCGGCAGUUUGCUGAUUUCCGCCUGGUGACUUUCAUGUUUAUUAGCCUAGGAGUUUACAUACUUUCUCCCUGCUGAAGACAAUUAACAAGAGCUUAUUCAUGUGCUCUAAUUCCCUUUUUUUGUCUUUGUUUUUUUGUGUGUGUGUCUAUUUUUGUCCUAGAUGGCCUGGCGCAGCAGGUAGGGGCGAACUCUAUGUCUGAGUUGGUCUUUGCUCAAGCAGUCCAGAAAUGGCUCAGAUAUGCUCCAGAUCGUA